Molecule: long non-coding RNA, 233 nt
Filed under: Phoenix dactylifera (date palm)
Lineage: Eukaryota; Viridiplantae; Streptophyta; Magnoliopsida; Arecales; Arecaceae
Description: long non-coding RNA (PDAC_LNC011791)
Source: RNAcentral
GCAUUUCAGCCGAAAGCUGAUUUGCGAACACCUCUUCUAUGGGGGACAGGGGUGGACUCCCUAGGAUGGCCGUAAGGGCCUCUGUCCUAUCAGAGGGGUGUGUGGGAACAAUUCCCUCACUCGAGAGAUGGAGGACUCGAGCAAUGAAGUCCUCCGAGAUGAAAACAGGGACACCCAUAACAGUUCCCUGGAUACCCCCGCUAACCCGUGCGACUGUACCAUAGAACUCCCUC